Molecule: ribosomal RNA, 253 nt
Filed under: uncultured bacterium
Lineage: Bacteria
Description: partial 16S ribosomal RNA
Rfam family: Bacterial small subunit ribosomal RNA
Source: RNAcentral
UACAGAGGGUGCGAGCGUUAAUCGGAAUUACUGGGCGUAAAGCGUGCGUAGACGGUUAUUUAAGUCAGGUGUGAAAGCCCCGGGCUCAACCUGGGAAUUGCAUUUGAGACUGAAUAGCUAGGGUGCGGAAGAGGGAAGCGGAAUUUCUGGUGUAGCGGUGAAAUGCGUAGAUAUCGGAAGGAACACCAGUGGCGAAAGCGGCUUCCUGGUCCAGCACCGACGUUCAGGCACGAAAGCGUGGGGAGCAAACAGG